Molecule: ribosomal RNA, 497 nt
Filed under: uncultured bacterium
Lineage: Bacteria
Description: partial 16S ribosomal RNA
Rfam family: Bacterial small subunit ribosomal RNA
Source: RNAcentral
GAUGAACGCUGGCGGUGUGCCUAAUACAUGCAAGUCGAGCGGACGGACGAGAAGCUUGCUUCUCUGAUGUUAGCGGCGGACGGGUGAGUAACACGUGGAUAACCUACCUAUAAGACUGGGAUAACUUCGAGAAACCGGAGCUAAUACCGGUUAAUAUCUUGAACCGCAUUGUUCAAAAGUGGAAGACGGUCCUUCUGUUACUUAUAGAUGUAUCCGCGCUGCAUUAGCUAGUUGGUAAGUGAACGGCUUAUCAAGGCAACUAUGCAUAGCCGACCUGAGAGCGUGGUCGUCCACACGGGAACUGAGACACGGCCCAGACUCCGACGGGAGGCAGCAGUAGGGAAUCUUACGCAAUGGGGGAAAGCCUGACGUAGCAACGUCGCGUGAGUGAUGAACGUCUUAGGAUCGUAAAACUCUGUUAUUAGUGAAGAACAUAUGUGUAAGUAACUGUGCACAUAUUGACGGUACCUAAUCAGAAAGCCACGGCUAACUACGUG